This 158-nucleotide ribosomal RNA is filed under the name Cristinia sp. FP-100305. RNAcentral's name for it is "5.8S ribosomal RNA". It matches the Rfam family "5.8S ribosomal RNA". Rfam says of the family: 5.8S ribosomal RNA (5.8S rRNA) is a component of the large subunit of the eukaryotic ribosome. Lineage: Eukaryota; Fungi; Basidiomycota; Agaricomycetes; Agaricales; Stephanosporaceae. The record is from RNAcentral.
CAACUUUCAACAACGGAUCUCUUGGCUCUCGCAUCGAUGAAGAACGCAGCGAAAUGCGAUAAGUAAUGUGAAUUGCAGAUUUCAGUGAAUCAUCGAAUCUUUGAACGCACCUUGCGCCUUCUGGUAUUCCAGAAGGCAUGCCCGUUUGAGUGUCAUUA